Molecule: ribosomal RNA, 397 nt
Filed under: uncultured bacterium
Lineage: Bacteria
Description: bacterial SSU rRNA
Rfam family: Bacterial small subunit ribosomal RNA
Source: RNAcentral
GACGAACGCUGGCGGCGUGCUUAACACAUGCAAGUGGAGCGACGAACCAGGCUUCGGCCUGGGGCAAAGCCGCGAACGGGUGAGUAACACGUGGGUAACCUGCCCCGAUGACUGGGACAACCCGGGAAACCCGGGCUAAUACCGGAUGUGCUCUCCUCACAUCAGUGAGGUGCGUAAAGGAAGCUUCGGCCUCCGCAUUGGGAUGGGCCCGCGGCCCAUUAGCUUGUUGGUGAGGAAUGGCUCACCAAGGCUGCGAUGGGUAGCUGGUCUGAGAGGACGAUCAGCCACACUGGGACUGAGACACGGCCCAGACUCCUACGGGAGGCAGCAGUGGGGAAUCUUGCGCAAUGCGCGAAAGCGUGACGCAGCAACGCCGCGUGGGGGAAGAAGGCCUGGU